UACGUAGGGUGCGAGCGUUGUCCGGAAUUAUUGGGCGUAAAGAGCUCGUAGGCGGUGUGUCGCGUCGAUCGUGAAAACUUGGGGCUUAACCCUGAGCUUGCGGUCGAUACGGGCAUCACUGGAGUUCGGCAGGGGAGACUGGAAUUCCUGGUGUAGCGGUGAAAUGCGCAGAUAUCAGGAGGAACACCGAUGGCGAAGGCAGGUCUCUGGGCCACUACUGACGCUGAGAAGCGAAAGCAUGGGGAGCGAACAGG
RNAcentral lists this ribosomal RNA (254 nucleotides) under uncultured bacterium. RNAcentral describes it as "partial 16S ribosomal RNA". It matches the Rfam family "Bacterial small subunit ribosomal RNA", at positions 524 to 776 of the family's 1533-position model. The record is from RNAcentral.